Molecule: ribosomal RNA, 528 nt
Filed under: uncultured bacterium
Lineage: Bacteria
Description: bacterial SSU rRNA
Rfam family: Bacterial small subunit ribosomal RNA
Source: RNAcentral
UGGGGAAUCUUGGACAAUGGGGGCAACCCUGAUCCAGCCAUGCCGCGUGAGUGAUGAAGGCCUUAGGGUCGUAAAGCUCUUUCGCCUGUGAAGAUAAUGACGGUAGCAGGUAAAGAAACCCCGGCUAACUCCGUGCCAGCAGCCGCGGUAAUACGGAGGGGGUUAGCGUUGUUCGGAAUUACUGGGCGUAAAGCGCACGUAGGCGGACCAGAAAGUUGGGGGUGAAAUCCCGGGGGCUCAACCCCGGAACUGCCUCCAAAACUAUUGGUCUAGAGUUCGAGAGAGGUGAGUGGAAUUCCAAGUGUAGAGGUGAAAUUCGUAGAUAUUUGGAGGAACACCAGUGGCGAAGGCGGCUCACUGGCUCGAUACUGACGCUGAGGUGCGAAAGUGUGGGGAGCAAACAGGAUUAGAUACCCUGGUAGUCCACACCGUAAAACGAUGAAUGCCAGUCGUCGGGUAGCAUGCUAUUCGGUGACACACCUAACGGAUUAAGCAUUCCGCCUGGGGAGUACGGUCGCAAGAUUAAAA